RNAcentral lists this non-coding RNA (148 nucleotides) under Gorilla gorilla gorilla (western lowland gorilla). Lineage: Eukaryota; Metazoa; Chordata; Mammalia; Primates; Hominidae. The record is from Rfam by way of RNAcentral.
GCCAGGCGUGGUGGCACACACCUGUAAUCCCAGCUACUCAGGAGGCUGAGACAGGAGAAUCGCUUGAACCCAGGAGGCGGAGGUUGCAGUGAGCCGAGAUUGCGCCACUGCACUCCAGCCUGGGUGACAGAGCGAGACUCUGUCUCAA